This 424-nucleotide ribosomal RNA is filed under the name uncultured eukaryote. RNAcentral's name for it is "bacterial SSU rRNA". It matches the Rfam family "Eukaryotic small subunit ribosomal RNA", at positions 592 to 1017 of the family's 1831-position model. The record is from RNAcentral.
CAAUAGCGUAUAUUAAAGUUGUUGCAGUUAAAAGCUCGUAGUUGGAUUUCUGGCUGGAGCGAUCGGUCCGCCCGCAAGGGUGUGUACUAGCGUCGUCUCCGACCAUCCUUGUGGGAACUGUGCGGCCGUUAACUCGGUUGUAUAUGGGAACACAUCGUUUACUGUGAAAAAUUAGAGUGUUUAAAGCAGGCUUAAGCCGUUGAAUACAUUAGCAUGGAAUAAUAAGAUAAGACUUGGGUCAUUAUUUUGUUGGUUUGCGGAUCGAGGUAAUGAUUAAUAGGGAUAGUUGGGGUAUUCGUAUUUCGUUGUCAGAGGUGAAAUUCUUGGAAUUUCCGAAAGACGAACUACUGCGAAAGCAUUUACCAAGGAUGUUUUCAUUAAUUCAAGAACGAAAGUUAGGGGAGUCGAAGACGAUUAGAUACCA